RNAcentral lists this ribosomal RNA (497 nucleotides) under uncultured bacterium. RNAcentral's name for it is "partial 16S ribosomal RNA". It matches the Rfam family "Bacterial small subunit ribosomal RNA", at positions 28 to 507 of the family's 1533-position model. The record is from RNAcentral.
GACGAACGCUGGCGGCGUGCCUAAUACAUGCAAGUCGAACGCUCAAGCGAGGAGCUUGCUCUUCUUGGAUUAGUUGCGAACGGGUGAGUAACGCGUAGGUAACCUGCCUGGUAGCGGGGGAUAACUAUUGGAAACGAUAGCUAAUACCGCAUAAAAUUGAUUAUUGCAUGAUAAUUAAUUGAAAGAUGCACCUGCAUCACUACCAGAUUGACCUGCGUUGUAUUAGCUAGGUUGUGAGGUAACGGCCCACCCAGGCGACCAUACAUAGCCGACCUGAGAGGGUGAUCGGCCCAACCGGGACGGGGACACCGGUCAGACUCCCAAGGGAGGGAGCAGGAGGGGAUUUUUGGCAAGGGGGGGAACCCCUAACGGGGAACGCCGGCGGGGGUAAGAAGGUUCUUGGAUCCGAAAGCCCUGGUGUAAGAGAAGAACGGGAGGGAGAGGGGAAAGUUCACACCGUGACGGUACCUUACCAGAAAGGGACGGCUAACUACGUG